This 298-nucleotide ribosomal RNA is filed under the name uncultured eukaryote. RNAcentral describes it as "partial 18S ribosomal RNA". It matches the Rfam family "Eukaryotic small subunit ribosomal RNA", at positions 1470 to 1796 of the family's 1831-position model. The record is from RNAcentral.
CCCUUAGACACUCUAGGCGGCACGCGCGCUACAAUGGGUGGAAGAACGUGUUACUGCCUCCGAAAGGAGGGGUGAAUCACGAAUUCUUGCCCGUGAAUGGGAUAGUUUGUUGCAAUUUUCGGACUUGAACUAGGAAUCCCUUGUAAACAUGCUCAAGAAUAGCGUGUUGAAUACGUCCCUGCCGUUUGUACACACCGCCCGUCGUUUCUUCCGACUGAUACUCAUUGUGAGUUGCAAGGACCCUUUAUUGGGAAAUUGCUGCAAAUGCUUUGUAUUGGAGGAAGAAAAGGUCGUAACA